CUCAAUAAUUAGGUCCUUUUCAGAAUCGCCUGUUUUUCAAAAACAUGUCUUCUUGAUAUAUAUUUUGAAGUCUGACCUGCUCACUGAUAAUUUUUAAAGAGCCGCGGUAAUUUAGACCGUGCAAAGGUAGCAUAAUCAUUAGUCUUUUAAUUGGAGGCUGGAAUGAAUGGUUUGACGAAAAAUCAACUGUCUCUUAUUAAUUUUUUGAAUUUAACUUUUGAGUUAAAAGGCUUAAAUUUACCUUUAGGACGAGAAGACCCUAUAGAGCUUAACAGAUUAAAAUAUUAUUUAUUUUAGUAUAUUUUUUAAAUGAUUUUUUAUUUUGUUUAGUUGGGGUGACGUGAAGAAUAAAUAAACUCUUCAUUAUUAAAUCAUUGAUUUAUGUUUAUAUGAUCCAUAAAUUAUGAUCAUAAGAUUAAGUUACCUUAGGGAUAACAGCGUAAUUGUUUUUAAGAGCUCUUAUCGACAAAACAGAUUGCGACCUCGAUGUUGGAUUAAGAUUAUUUUCGGGUGCAGUAGCUCAAUAAUUAGGUCUGUUCGACCUUUAAUUUCUUACAUGAUCUGAGUUCAACCGGGUUUUUUUUUUAAAAGGA
This 593-nucleotide ribosomal RNA is filed under the name Acrida ungarica. RNAcentral describes it as "partial large subunit ribosomal RNA". It matches the Rfam family "Archaeal large subunit ribosomal RNA", at positions 1852 to 2719 of the family's 2987-position model. The record is from RNAcentral. Lineage: Eukaryota; Metazoa; Arthropoda; Insecta; Orthoptera; Acrididae.